UCGGGAAUUUUGGGCAAUGGGGGAAACCCUGACCCAGCAACGCCGCGUGAAGGAUGAAGUAUUUCGGUAUGUAAACUUCGUAAGAAUAGGAAGAAUAAAUGACGGUACUAUUUGUAAGGUCCGGCUAACUACGUGCCAGCAGCCGCGGUAAUACGUAGGGACCAAGCGUUGUUCGGAUUUACUGGGCGUAAAGGGCGCGUAGGCGGCAUGACAAGUCACUUGUGAAAUCUCUGGGCUUAACCCAGAACGGCCAAGUGAUACUGUCGCGCUAGAGUGCAGAAGGGGCAAUCGGAAUUCUUGGUGUAGCGGUGAAAUGCGUAGAUAUCAAGAGGAACACCUGAGGUGAAGACGGGUUGCUGGGCUGACACUGACGCUGAGGCGCGAAAGCCAGGGGAGCAAACGGGAUUAGAUACCCUCGUAGUCCCUGAGCGGGCUGGCAAGGCGCAU
RNAcentral lists this ribosomal RNA (447 nucleotides) under uncultured bacterium. RNAcentral describes it as "bacterial SSU rRNA". It matches the Rfam family "Bacterial small subunit ribosomal RNA", at positions 355 to 825 of the family's 1533-position model. The record is from RNAcentral.